RNA transcript from Alnus glutinosa, 1587 nucleotides. RefSeq lists it as uncharacterized. NCBI's taxonomy places the organism in Eukaryota, Viridiplantae, Streptophyta, Magnoliopsida, Fagales, Betulaceae. The record is from RefSeq and is a predicted model, not a curated record. The transcript is spliced from 6 exons.
GAUGCAGAGCCCAAGUCGUGGCUCUCCACAAGGCCCAGCACCGCUACGCCUAUUAUUAAUCUCACAGGGCUAUAAAAAAUUAAGAAUCCCUAAUUCCCAAAUUGCUUCAUCCAGGUUCCAGUGCUUUCAGCAAAUCCAACGGAACGAGGGUUUCAUCAAAUUUGUUUGCAGUUUUUUCAUCUAAUUUAUUGUAUAACUUAUUUGUAUCAUAAAAGGCUGUUCCUUGAGCAGCUUAUAUAUAGUUUGGCUAAUUUAACUUAAAUGGGGAACAGAAAACAAAAGAGAACUCGAUUUGUCGAGGAUCGGAUAAGCGGAAUGCCGGAUGAUGUUCUGGUUUCCAUUCUGUCUCUCAUAACAAUGAAAGAGGCGGGGAGAACUAGUGUCCUUUCUCGCCGAUGGCAAAAGCUUUGGACUUUUGUUCCUAAUUUGAAUUUCGAUGGGCAAGAGAGUUUAUACUAUUUGGAAGAUCAUAUAGGCGCACGGGGAUUCCGGAGACUACAUCGUAUUGCAAGGACCAAUUAUGUGAAAUGGGUGAAUCGUGUACUGGAAUUGCAUCGUACUCCGGCUAUUGACCAAUUUAGAGUUUUUUUUUGAUUUGACUGAGGAUUAUAGACGUGAUAUUGAUAAUUGGAUCAACUUUGCAAUGGAAAAGAGAGUUCAAAGGCUUGAGUUGAGCUUUGAUUAUUGUUCCCUUAUAAAUCCUUACCCUUUUCCAUCAUUGUACCAGACUCGCGGUAUUCCCAGCCCAAAUUCCCUUAGGGCCCUCAUUUUAAAAUUUCUGAAUGUAAGUGGAGAAGUUUUGGAGUACUUCAUAUGCAACUGCCCCUUUCUUGAACGCCUGUGUGUGCAAAAUUCAUCUGCCCUUGUCAAUCUGAAAGUUGCUGGUCCAUUACUCCCCUUGAAGUACUUAGAGAUAUGCCACUGCCCCAAGCUACAAAACCUAGAGAUUUCUGCAAAAAAUCUUGUAUCUUUCGUAUACUCUGGGCCAAGAAUAACCAUGCCUUUUAGAUAUGUACCCAACCUCGUUGAAAUGUCUUUGGGGGGCGUGUAUUGUAAAUAUUCAAUCUAUCAAUUCUGUGAGUUUUCAAGUUGUCUUUCGUGGCUAGAGACCCUUAUAUUGGAACUUCCGAGGAUCAAGAAAAAUAAGAAGCUCAUUGAAUUUCCUACAUUAAGUAAUCUCAAGCAAUUAGAGUUGAUAGCUUUCGAUGAAAGUGAUAAUGCAAGCCUUCUUGGGUUGACUUCCCUGUUAAAAGCAGCUCCUAUCUUGUGCAGGUUAACACUGAAGGUAACUCCAGGGUCUCAUGCAAGAUCUUUCUUGGUAAUAUUGUAAUUGAAUUUGAUGGAAGCCUGUUGAAAGCAUCAAGGAGGGAUGGAGUCAGCGAGUCACAAUUCAACCAAGUUUUGAACAUUGAACUGGAUCAAAUGAUAGAGGCAUGCAAAUUUCUAUCUUUGUGCUCACGCUAGAAUGAUCGGGACCACAAGGCCAACACAUUACCAUGUUCUAUUUGAUGAGGUUGGCUUUUCUGCAAAUGAUCCUCAGGAACUUGUGAGUUCACUUUCUUAUGCAUAUCAAACAAGCACAACUGC